This 1537-nucleotide ribosomal RNA is filed under the name Streptococcus suis. RNAcentral's name for it is "bacterial SSU rRNA". It matches the Rfam family "Bacterial small subunit ribosomal RNA". The record is from RNAcentral. Lineage: Bacteria; Bacillati; Bacillota; Bacilli; Lactobacillales; Streptococcaceae.
AGAGUUUGAUCCUGGCUCAGGACGAACGCUGGCGGCGUGCCUAAUACAUGCAAGUAGAACGCUGAAGUCUGGUGCUUGCACUAGACGGAUGAGUUGCGAACGGGUGAGUAACGCGUAGGUAACCUGCCUCAUAGCGGGGGAUAACUAUUGGAAACGAUAGCUAAUACCGCAUAACAGUAUUUACCGCAUGGUAGAUAUUUGAAAGGAGCAAUUGCUUCACUAUGAGAUGGACCUGCGUUGUAUUAGCUAGUUGGUGAGGUAACGGCUCACCAAGGCUUCGAUACAUAGCCGACCUGAGAGGGUGAUCGGCCACACUGGGACUGAGACACGGCCCAGACUCCUACGGGAGGCAGCAGUAGGGAAUCUUCGGCAAUGGGGGCAACCCUGACCGAGCAACGCCGCGUGAGUGAAGAAGGUUUUCGGAUCGUAAAGCUCUGUUGUAAGAGAAGAACUGUGAGAAGAGUGGAAAGUUUCUCACUUGACGGUAUCUUACCAGAAAGGGACGGCUAACCACGUGCCAGCAGCCGCGGUAAUACGUAGGUCCCGAGCGUUGUCCGGAUUUAUUGGGCGUAAAGCGAGCGCAGGCGGUUUGAUAAGUCUGAAGUAAAAGGCUGUGGCUUAACCAUAGUACGCUUUGGAAACUGUCAAACUUGAGUGCAGAAGGGGAGAGUGGAAUUCCAUGUGUAGCGGUGAAAUGCGUAGAUAUAUGGAGGAACACCGGUGGCGAAAGCGGCUCUCUGGUCUGUAACUGACGCUGAGGCUCGAAAGCGUGGGGAGCGAACAGGAUUAGAUACCCUGGUAGUCCACGCCGUAAACGAUGAGUGCUAGGUGUUGGGUCCUUUCCGGGACUCAGUGCCGCAGCUAACGCAUUAAGCACUCCGCCUGGGGAGUACGACCGCAAGGUUGAAACUCAAAGGAAUUGACGGGGGCCCGCACAAGCGGUGGAGCAUGUGGUUUAAUUCGAAGCAACGCGAAGAACCUUACCAGGUCUUGACAUCCCGAUGACCGCCCUAGAGAUAGGGUUUCUCUUCGGAGCAUCGGUGACAGGUGGUGCAUGGUUGUCGUCAGCUCGUGUCGUGAGAUGUUGGGUUAAGUCCCGCAACGAGCGCAACCCCUAUUGUUAGUUGCCAUCAUUCAGUUGGGCACUCUAGCGAGACUGCCGGUAAUAAACCGGAGGAAGGUGGGGAUGACGUCAAAUCAUCAUGCCCCUUAUGACCUGGGCUACACACGUGCUACAAUGGCUGGUACAACGAGUCGCAAGUCGGUGACGGCAAGCUAAUCUCUUAAAGCCAGUCUCAGUUCGGAUUGUAGGCUGCAACUCGCCUACAUGAAGUCGGAAUCGCUAGUAAUCGCGGAUCAGCACGCCGCGGUGAAUACGUUCCCGGGCCUUGUACACACCGCCCGUCACACCACGAGAGUUUGUAACACCCGAAGUCGGUGAGGUAACCUUUUAGGAGCCAGCCGCCUAAGGUGGGAUAGAUGAUUGGGGUGAAGUCGUAACAAGGUAGCCGUAUCGGAAGGUGCGGCUGGAUCACCU